RNA transcript from Pseudopipra pipra, 10186 nucleotides. It is a transcript of the gene named myosin IIIB, with no coding region annotated. The transcript is spliced from 41 exons. Lineage: Eukaryota; Metazoa; Chordata; Aves; Passeriformes; Pipridae. The record is from RefSeq and is a predicted model, not a curated record.
GGCUGCCUGGGGCCGCUGGUGCAGCGCCAUUACAAGCACUGCUGCUGAGGCCGUGCGGGUACCCAGCCUCCGCAGGGGGUGACCAGCUGCACCUGUUUUUCCAAAAUCCAUAGGUAAGCAAUACUCAGGGUAAAAAGUCUCCAUGAUUAAAAAUGGCAGAAGAUACUACAAGGCAAGAAGUAAGUGGGCGUGACACGGGAUUCAGGCCCUGAAUAACUGAAGAAAAGUCUCUAAAUGAAUUCUAGUAAUCCAAGGAAAUACAAGAGAGGAGAGCCUAUGGAUCAGCAACAGAAAAGGAGAAGGGGGAAAAAAACCUCAUACAAACCCUGAGCAUAACUGGCAAGGUUUAUUGCUCAGAGAGACAGUACCUUUUGCUGAGCUGAGCAUAUGGCUAACAGGAGCUAUGUCAGCAGCUGAGAACACAGCAAGUCCUGAAUCAAACUGGAUUAGGAAGCCAUUGUAUGGAUUAUUUCAAUAUAAUUCCAGUAUGAUUGGACUAGAAUCGUUAGCCGAUCCCUCAGAUACCUGGGAAAUCAUAGAGACUAUUGGGAAAGGCACUUAUGGUAAAGUCUAUAAGGUUGCCAAUAAGAAAGAUGGAAGCCUGGCAGCAGUAAAGAUUCUGGAUCCUGUCAGUGAUGUAGAUGAAGAAAUUGAAGCUGAAUAUAAUAUUUUGCAGUUUCUUCCCAAUCAUCCUAAUGUUGUUAGAUUUUAUGGCAUGUUUUACAAAGCAGAUCAAUAUGUGGGAGGACAGCUCUGGCUAGUACUUGAGCUGUGCAAUGGAGGUUCUGUCACAGAGCUCGUCAAAGGCCUGCUGAAGUGUGGCCGAAGGUUGGAUGAAGCUAUAAUCUCAUACAUCUUAUAUGGUGCUCUCUUGGGCCUCCAGCAUUUACACAAUAACCGGAUCAUUCAUCGUGAUGUGAAAGGGAACAACAUUCUCCUGACAACAGAAGGUGGAGUCAAGCUCGUUGACUUUGGUGUUUCAGCCCAGCUCACCAGCACACGGCUACGCAGAAACACCUCAGUGGGGACACCCUUUUGGAUGGCACCUGAGGUCAUUGCUUGUGAACAACAGUAUGACUACUCAUAUGAUGCUCGAUGUGACGUGUGGUCCUUGGGAAUAACAGCUAUUGAACUGGGGGAUGGAGACCCUCCUUUAUUUGACAUGCAUCCGGUGAAAACCCUUUUUAAAAUUCCAAGAAAUCCUCCUCCUACUUUGCUACAUCCUGAAAAAUGGUGCAGAGGAUUCAACCAUUUCAUUUCACAGUGUCUAAUCAAAGAUUUUGAAAAGCGUCCUUCAGUUACCCAUCUUUUGGAGCACCCAUUUAUUAAACAAGUACAUGGUAAAGACAUGUCUCUGCGAAAACAGCUGGCUGAGCUCAUCCAAGAACAACAGCAGCUGGGCUCCAGAGCCAAAACAAGACAUGAACGAAUACAUACUAGAAGACCUUACCAUGUGGAUGGAGCUGACAAGUACUCUCUAGAUGAUGAUCUGGUAAAUCUAGAAGUUCUCGAUGAGGAUACAAUUAUCCAUCAGCUGCAAAAACGCUAUGCUGACUUACAGAUUUAUACUUAUGUUGGAGACAUUUUAAUAGCCUUGAACCCCUUCCAGAAUCUCAGCAUUUAUUCUCCCCAGUUCUCCAAGCUUUACCAUGGUGUGAAGCGUUCAUCAAAUCCCCCCCACAUAUUUGCCUCUGCGGAUGCUGCCUACCAAAGCAUGGUUACAUUCAGCAAGGAUCAGUGCAUUAUCAUCAGUGGGGAAAGUGGUGCUGGAAAGACAGAAAGUGCCCAUCUGAUCGUCCAACAUUUGACCUUCUUGGGAAAGGCCAAUAACCGUGCUUUGCGUGAGAAAAUUCUUCAGGUGAAUCCUCUGGUUGAAGCAUUUGGGAAUGCCUGCACUGCCAUCAAUGACAACUCAAGUCGCUUUGGAAAAUAUCUGGAAAUGAUGUUUACACCCACAGGAGCUGUAAUGGGGGCAAAGAUUUCUGAAUAUCUCCUUGAAAAAUCAAGGGUCAUAAAACAGGCUGUGGGAGAGAAAAAUUUCCAUAUAUUUUAUUAUAUUUAUGCUGGCCUUUAUCAUCAGAAGAAACUUUCUGAAUAUAGACUUCCUGAUAAAAAGCCUCCUAGAUAUAUUGAUAAUGAAACUGGAAGAGUAAUGCAUGAUAUUGUUACUAAAGAUUCUUAUGGAAGACAAUUUGAAGCGAUUCAGCAUUGCUUUAGAAUUAUAGGAUUUACUGACGAGGAAGUGUACUCAGUGUACAGAAUUCUGACUGGAAUCUUAAAUACUGGAAAUAUUGAGUUUGCUGCCAUUUCUUCACAACACCAAACGGAUAAAAGUGAGGUUCCCAACCCAGAAGCCUUAGAUAAUGCUGCUGCACUACUAAGUAUUGGGUCAGAAGAACUUCAAGAGGCCCUAACCUCCCACUGUGUUGUAACACGGGGGGAGACUAUUAUCCGAACAAACACCGUGGACAAAGCAGCUGACGUGCGAGAUGCCAUGUCUAAAGCACUUUAUGGCCGGCUCUUCAGCUGGAUUGUAAAUCGUAUCAAUACGCUGCUUCAGCCAGAUAAAAAUAUAUGCAAUGCUGAAAGUGGGAUGAAUGUUGGGAUACUAGACAUAUUUGGAUUUGAGAACUUCGCAAGAAAUUCUUUUGAACAGCUGUGCAUAAAUAUCGCUAAUGAACAGAUCCAGUUUUAUUUCAAUCAACAUAUCUUUGCACUUGAGCAGAUGGAGUAUCAGAGCGAGGGAAUUGAUGCAACUACAGUGGAGUAUGAGGACAACCGUCCUCUUCUAGAUAUGUUCCUUCAGAAACCCAUGGGUCUUCUGUCUCUGUUAGAUGAAGAAAGUCGAUUUCCUCAGGCAACAGACCUAACUUUAGUUGAUAAAUUUGAAGAUAACUUACGAUGCAAAUACUUUUGGAGACCAAAAGGAGUAGAGCUGUCAUUUGGUAUUCAGCACUAUGCUGGAAAGGUAUUAUAUGAUGCCAGUGCAUUCCUUGAGAAGAACAGAGACACACUUCCUGCCGACAUAGUGGUGGUGUUGCGAACUUCAGAGAACAAACUUCUUCAGCAGCUGUUCUCUAGCCCAUUAACAAAGACAGGUAAUUUGGCACAAGCAAGAGCCAGAGUGACAGCAGCAUCUAGGUCUCUGCCUCCUCAGCUCAGUGCUGGGCGUAUCAAGUCUCCUAAAUAUCUCCUGAAGGUUGACACAAUGGAGGUUAUGCGGCAUCCUGAGGAAACAACUAAUAUGAAGCGGCAAACUAUGGCUUCCUAUUUUAGGUAUUCCCUCAUGGAUCUUUUAUCUAAAAUGGUUGUUGGACAGCCUCACUUUAUCCGGUGCAUUAAACCUAAUGAUGAUCGAGAAGCACUGAUGUUUUCUCACGAGAGAGUUCUGUUGCAGCUACGAUACACUGGAAUUCUGGAAACUGUCAAAAUACGUCAAAAAGGGUAUUCUCAUCGCAUCCUCUUUGAAGAGUUUGUAAAAAGGUAUUAUUACCUGGCAUUCAAGGCACAUGAGGCUCCCCUUGGUAGCAGAGAAAACUGUCUUGCCAUUUUGGAGAAAUCUAAGCUAGACAACUGGAUUCUUGGGAAGACCAAGGUUUUUUUAAAGUAUUACCAUAUAGAGCAGUUAAAUUUGUUCCUUCGAGAAGUUAUAGGGAGAGUGGUGGUCAUGCAAGCCUAUGUCAAGGGAUGGCUCGGAGCAAGGAGGUACAAGAAAGUCAAAGAUAAAAGAGAAAACAGUGCUCUUACUAUACAGUCAGCCUGGAGAGGAUAUGAAGCUCGCAGGAAGUACAAGGAAAUAAGGAACAGAAGAACUGAUGCUGCUAUACAUAUUCAAGCAGCUUUCAGGGGAUAUAUUGUUCGUAAAAACUACACAAGAUUGAAAACCAGCACUGAGCGUGUAGCAGAUCCUCAGCUUACAAGCAGCUGCUCUACUUCUGAUUUUGGCUGUGAAGAAGACUGGCAGCAAACCAGUAACCGGUCUUCUCCCAUGGUGCCUGAUUUUCUUGACAAACAAACGAAAAAGAAUGAUUUGGAUGAGAUUUCUGCUUCUCCAGUAAUUCUAAAACAUUCAUUCGAAGUAAAUGAUUCACAAUCAAUUAGCCAAUCCGAGGCAGUUGCAGACCAUCAGUUGUCAAGCCUCUUGAGAUCUCGUAAAAAAGGAGGUUCAGAAAACUGUCUUGAACAGAAGCUGAGAACACCUCGUCGACGAUGUCAGCAGCCCAAAAUGCUGAAUAGCCCUGAGGACAACAUGUACUAUAACCAGUUAAAUGGAACUCUAGAAUAUCAAGGGAGCAAGAGGAAGCCAAGAAAACUUGGCCAAAUCAAAGUGCUGGAUGGAGAGGAUGAGUAUUACGAAUCAUUGUCAGCUGUUGAAUCUACUCCUGAAGAUGACAGUUUUCUUAGUUCCCCAUCUCCUCCUUCUUCGAGACGUGUGUCUUUUGCUCAAAGCUGAACCUCACUUACUCUGUUGACUAAUACUGAUGUUAAGCUUGUAACAAUCUCAGCCAUCAGAAAUGGACUUCAAAGAAAUUUUAAGCAGUCUUUACUUGCAUGGAAAGGGUAAAAUACAAUAUUUUCCUUAUUAUAUGCAAUUCCACUAUCUACAUCUGCUAUAAUUUUUUCAAAUUAGUUUAAUGUCACUAAUACUUUUAUACUGAAGUUACUAUCUAAAACCUGCUGUUGAGUAGUGUGUUUUCGUUCUUGUUACUUCUUGGCUAAACACUAUGCAUACAGUCAGUCUGUGCAUUUUAUUCUUUCCUAGCUUAUCCCCCUUUCCUCAUUUGCUUUUGAUAAGUCACUUUACCCUCACCAGAUAAGCUCUGUGAGGUUGUCUUCUCUCAUUGUGAUUUUAGAGCACUUAUAUGCCUUUGGAUUGUUAAAAGCCUUGCUGUAGAGCCGUGGAGUCACAGCAAGACUGGCCAAAGAGUUGAACUUCUGUUAACCACAUUCAUAGAUGUGUGUGUUUGGGUUGAUUUGUGUGUGAAAAGGAGUACGGGAGGCAUGUCAGUGUGACAUCCUGGUCAGUGGAAGCAUAUCAAUGUAAAUUGCUUAGAUGUUCUCAUUUAGUUUUGAUACCACUGAAGCAUUGUUCUGAUUUAUUUCCUUUCAUGUAUAUUAUCCUGAAAUAUUAAUGUAUUUUUCUUAAUAGUUCAUAACAUAUCCUGUUGUUAAUAUUUUAUAAAAGUAAAGAGUUUAAAUCCUGUUAGGAAGAAUAAAAUUUCUUAGGCAGUGUGUAAUAAUUUAAACAGUUUUCAGCAGAUGGGAGAGAAAAGGGUGAAGCUCAACAAGGGAUUUUAGUAGAUUUCUUCUGUAGAGCUUAAUGGCACUAGAAACUGGUUCUUGCUGAGGACAAUUUCUGCCUUUCAGUUAUGGCAGCUUAAAAACUUCUCUCUGUGCCAAAAAAAAUCAGGGCAGGGAGCUUUUGGAGAUUAGCCCCUUUCAUUUGGUAAUUUUAAACGUGCUUCUGACUUAAACAUUUACAUCACUUUAGUAACAUAAAGGAACCUUAGAAUAGGAGUAAAUUGCAGCCAUCUUAAAUUUGCCCCCACUGUGACCUCCCUCACCCAUACACUGUAAGAUUUGUGGAAAGGGCUUUUGUGCACUGAAGGUCUUUUAAGUGGCCCCUAUCAGGCUACCCAAGGACUUCUUGUUCCUUAGAAGCUGAUAAAAUAUGGCUGUAAAUAAUGUAAAGCUAAAAACUGUGUGGUACUACUAUCUAUUUUACAAAUAAAAAUUGAUGUGAAAUAGAGUUUAAGUCUCAGUUCAAAAAUUUCACCUUUUUAAAAAAGAAGUAAUGUUACAAUUGAAUGUUUAUCGCCUCCUGUUCUAAGAAUUGUAAUUGUAUAGGGAUAUUGCUUUUUUAAUUGUAAAAUAGUUAGCAAUGAGAUAAAUAACUGAAGUCUACCAUACUCUUAUUUCUCAUUCCAUUUUUGACUGUCUCAAAACAGAAGGAGAAUUUUGAGAGACAAGCCAAGCUCUGGCAUUUUUAAAUGUCUUCAGGUUAACCAUAUAUAUAUAUACAUACAAUUGAAAAUGAAGCCAUAUGGCACAAAAGUAUCAUCCUAUGAGAAAAGGCUGGAAAUUCCCAAUGAUUUUUAGAGUAUAUAUGCAAAUUAUGGAGAGAAAAGGAAGUAACGUGCAAAAAGGACAACACUCUGGACUCCCUGUGCAACAGUGCAAGUUGAGAAGACUCCCAUGAUUUGAACAUGCCAGACACCUCAUAAAUAAUGCCUGUAAGAUUGUUGGAGGGAACCAGCCAAACAUGGAUCAACAAGAAGCUGGUAAAGGAAAAUCAGUGUCUCAAAACUUGGCUGAUCCAGGAAUAUCGUUGUGUGUUUGUGCCUCAUAUAUUUGCGGAGCAUCAGAUUCUCUGUGUUUGAUCAUACACAGUGGUAGAAGGGUUCACUGGAAAAGGUUAGUGGAACACUGACUGAGAGGAGGAAAAAACUAGCAGAGAGAGAGUCUACUUGAGGUGGGGGAAAAUUAGCUCUACUAACUGCUCCUGUGCGUGAGAUCAAGGAAAUACAGAUAGUAGUAUUACUUAAUUCCCAAAGUUGUGUAGUAGCAAAGCUUGCAGAUCUUUCUGCAGGGGAGGUCAUCACCAUUGAGAGUGAUUGUUUUGAUGAUUGGCAAGUGAAGCUAGAGCUUGGACAGAAUCCUGCUAAAGCAGAGAAAGGCUGGGCUGUAAAGGUAAGCAAGUAUCUAGUUAUUUCUGCUCAGUAUGUUCAGUGUUAGAGUUAUAGAGGCACAUUUGGUUGUUCAGUACAGCCCACCUAAUGUGUAUUUUGUCCUUAUAAAACAAAGGUGUUAGGCUCUAGUUUUUUACUUACUUUAUGCUCUAAUCACUGUCCACCAGGAAGAGUAGAAAUAUAGUUAUUGUGGGCAUAUUGGCUUAUUGCUCUGUUUGCACAGGCUGCAUGUUUGUCUCCUAAUUGUCUCCACACAGCCUCAUUGCUGCCUUUCUGCCUGUCCAAGGUUGUCUGGGCUUUAGUCUUUGUCUGUCUUUUCCACAGAAAGAUCAACAUCUGCUCAUAGUUCAAAGUUCCUAAAAGAAUGCUCAAGUGUCAGAAGAGACUGACAUGAAACUGGGGGGAUAGGAGGGAUAUAGAAAAGAGUUUGGAUUUUGCAAGGUGAAUGAGGUGGAACAUUAUAUUAUAUGGUCCCAAGUCAUGUGCCUCUGCUCGUCAGUCCAAUUCCCUACUCUUCAGUAGGGUUAAUAUAUGACAUAGGACAAUAUAUGACACUGUGACAUGAUACAGUGGUCCCCCUGUGUUACCUUUGAUAAAAAAAUGCAAUAAUAACGUAGUUAUCUCUUUAUAGAGGAAUUGUGAAGAUAAAUGCUUUAAAGAUGAUGUGCUCGUAGUGACUAAAGCUCCUCCCAAUACACUCACUGCAGUUUGACCACCUUCUUACUCAGGGCUGUCACAGGAUUUUGCUUGUUGAUCCAAUUUCCAUAAUUCCCCCAGCUCUACAGCUGCACUCCUGUUACUUAGAAAAAUAUCCUGAAUAUUCCCUACACACCUGGCUGCUAUAUCCUUACAUACCCUGUCACUGGUAAACUUGGCAAGUUGACAGAAGUUUACAAAAAGAAGAAAGGGAAACUGUGAAAAAUAAUUGCUUUACUGGCUGAUGGCAGGAGAGAACAGGGAAGUAAAGGCAAAAUUUCCACCCCUUAUCUAGUUUGAAUAUAUAUAUGGGUUGAGUGUCAGAGGUGGCUUUAUAUGGCUCUGUAGAGUAAAAUGUUAUUUUAGCAAAAAAAGAACAUACCACAGAGAUGAAAACAGCUUCAGUCAAUCACUCAGAACUGCUGUUCAUCUUGAUAUUCUCAUAAUCAGUGACCCCAGCAUUGGCAUGUGUGAUUCCAUGCUCAUUCUUAGUUUUUCCAUUCAGUCUUGGCACCGAUGUGGUGCCUGCUCAGGGGUUACCUUUUCUCUCCACCUAGAUGAUUAGCGUUUUGCUUCUGACCCCUCCUAAAAUUCUGGCUUGCAUUCAGGCAUCUGACCAGUGAUAGAGUCUGUGUAGCUCUGUUUCCUUUUUCCUACAUCCCUCCUCUGCUGCUUUCUAGUUGUUGAUGCUUUACUUGGAGCACUGCAAAUAGUGUAUAAAUGAUAGUGGAGCAGCAUAUGCCAAAGGAAAGAACAAAGCUGACUAGAUUGUACUAUUUCUAAGUAUUUAUAAGAAAAUACUGAUCAACUGGAGCUUGUCUGACUGGUAGAGCAACAGUAGACAGAGGAAGUGAUUAGUUUUAUGGGUAGUGUGGUCAAAAUCCCUGUGAGGGCUAUAAAAUAGGGAGCAGCAACUGAAUUGAUGACUAGUGAGGCAUAUGGCAUCUAAAUUAACAGCGUCUCCCAGGAGAAGGUCAUCAGGGUAUCAGAAGGCUGAAGCAGAAAAUUCGUUUUGUCUCUUCCUACAUGAAAUUUGUGUGAUACAGGGAUGCUGUAGUAAUAUGGAAAACCAGAUAAAACUGGAGGUAUAACACUUUGAGUCUUUGCUGUAGAGUUUAAUGGAUAAGGCUAUGUACAUUGCUAGAACUACCUCUAACCUCACUGUGUACAUUUCUAAAACUUUAUUUAAGAGGGAUUUUGACUACUAUGUUCUCUUGUAAACAGUUUUACUUCUAGAAUCCAAACUAUCUUACCCUUAGUUUAGAGCUAAGUAAAUGAGAACAGGCGGGAGAAAUUCAUAAAUCAACUGAUAACUUUAUCUCAUUAAAGAGAAUCAUUGGCACUAUAGAACAGCUGCUUUCUGAAUCACUCCAUGUGCCAAGGACACUUAGCAUGGGUAGUGAUGGAAGUGGAAAAAUGGAGCAAAGUGUGAGGCCAGUUCAGUUUUUAUGGGCAUCUCUUCCACCAACUUCUGUAAGAAUCUUGACAGAAAAAGAACAUUAUUUUUCAGCCCCAAACUCUAGUGCAUUGAUAAGGAUGACAGCAUUUUACAAAGUUAGUCUGAUGACACUGAUAAAAUUGCAUGACUUAGUGUUUUUUCUCCAGGCUUUUUUAUCUUAAGACAAAAAAAUUAGAAAAUGGUUCUUUGUGGUUUAGUGUGACCUCUUAAGAAGCAGUCAGUGGUUUUCAGUCGCAGAUUUCUGUGUCAUCUGGGCAUUGGAGUGCCAGCACUGUAACAUCGUAGGCUUGCUCUUAGUUCCAAGCAUAAGGAUUAGGUAAGUUAGACUAAUAAAUUACCGUUUUAUUGCAUUAUCUGUCCUUUUCCAUGGACUGUUCUCUCUUUCAUAUGUAAUAUGUGAUUCUCUCAGCUCAACGCUAGUAGAAUAUGGGGGCUUUCUUCAUGUAGUAGGAAAAUAGGAAUGUGAGAUUUACUGAGGGAGAGAAGCCAGAAAGUGUACCCAUUUGAAGAUCUUUUUUUCUUCCCAUCCAUCUCAGAGGUUCCAGAAGUGUGAGAAAAAUUACACCAUUCAUUAGACUGUAUCAAGUCAUUGACAUGCUGACGCCCUUGUUUUUGAGGAGAAUACCCUUUCUCUUGUCCUGGGUUCUCAAACAGCUGGUCAAGCUGUUUGCCCCUGAGCAAUAGGGGCUGACUGAAGAGUGAAAUGUGAUUUAUUCCCACAUUAGGGUUGUUUGCUUUGAUUUGACGUGGCCAGCUAGCCAGCAGGAGGUACAUGCCUCGGCCCGUGCUCCUGAGGUUUCAGCUGAGCUGGUGUAAGUUGUUUAAAUGUUUGGUGAGGAGCAGCCUGGUAAUCUGUGUACAGAACUGAGGCAAGGAGCUCCUCUUUCCAAGCCUGGAGCAGUUGUGUGUAUGGCAAUGGUUGUUCCCUUUGAAAAGAAGGGGAAAGAAGCUGAUUCUACUGCAUAAGAGUAUGGUGAGAAUGACUUCACGUUUCUGUAGUUCUGCGAGGAUGGGAAGCAUAAUACAAACAUUGUAUAUAUUUGAAAUAAUUUUAUUGAUGGUAUUUUUAUUUUUCAGAAUUGGAGGUGAAUUUUUAUUUGGGUAGUUAAUGUAAUUUAUGCAUUUACCUAUUUAUGUGUUAUUCUGCAUCGCUUAAGACAUCAAGUUAUGAAAUGACACAGAAACAUACUGUGCACUGCUUUCCUGAAAAGACUUUUCUGGCAGUCUACAAGAGCAGUGUUCACCUAGGGAGAGAUAAAUAAUUUCAAAAUUGUAAUUGAAGCUUUCCCCAGUCUUUCAUGGGAUCCUGGGCCUGUGGUACCAACCAAGAAGACUGGCAUUU